AGGAAUCAAAUUAACUUCUCUCUCAACUCUGUCGUCCUCUUUCUCUCUCCCUGUCUCCGGUGAGCGUCGCCGGCCUUCGCCGCCUCCGGCGCGGCGAGGUCUGCCUCUCCUCUCCCCCCUUCCUUUCUUUCCAUUUCUCUUUUCCCUAUGUUUCAAUCCCCAAAUUAUAAAAUCAAAAUCCUAGGGUUUCUACCUCUCUUCAUCCCCUCUGGAAUUCGUCUCUCCGGCGAAGCCUGCCGCCCCGCCGUCGUCUCUGUCACGCCGCCGCCUCUUCUGACUCAGGAAUGGGUGAUUCGAGAUGGUUUGAGAUGAUUUCAUCGUGGCAGUUCAUCAACGGCCGAAGACUGUUUUUAUAAGACUCAGCCUUCUAUUUGGGUUAUUAUUGAUUAAUAAACUGUUGUAACUAGAUGUAUUCUGUAGAUGUUAAAGAAAAUUGAUGUUAUCUCUGCUGUUCUUGAAAUUGAUGUAUUCUGUAGAUGUAUUCUUGAAAUAGAUGUUCAUCAAAAUUGAGUUGUAGAAAGAAUACUACCUGCUUGUUUGCUGUGAUGACUGCAAGGGAUGAUUUAUGUUUUUGGAUGGA
Salvia miltiorrhiza (redroot sage) is the source of this 580-nucleotide long non-coding RNA. RefSeq lists it as uncharacterized. The transcript has 2 exons. The record is from RefSeq and is a predicted model, not a curated record. NCBI's taxonomy places the organism in Eukaryota, Viridiplantae, Streptophyta, Magnoliopsida, Lamiales, Lamiaceae.